Molecule: long non-coding RNA, 235 nt
Organism: Apodemus sylvaticus (European woodmouse)
Lineage: Eukaryota; Metazoa; Chordata; Mammalia; Rodentia; Muridae
Exons: 3
Source: RefSeq, a predicted model, not a curated record
UGUGGGACUGUAGGUUUCCAGGUGUGAGUAAGGUGAGGGGCUGUAGGAUCCCAGGUGUGAAUAAGGUGUGAGGCUGUAGGAUCCCAGGUGUGAGCAAGGUGUGGGGCAGUAGGGAUCCCAGGUGUGAGCAAGGUGAGGGGCUGUAGGAUCCCAGGUGUGAGCAAGGUGUGGGGCUGUAGGAUCCCAGGUGUGAGCAAGGAGAGGGGCUGUAGGAUCCCAGGUGUGAACACGGUGA